RNAcentral lists this ribosomal RNA (222 nucleotides) under uncultured Methanomicrobiales archaeon. RNAcentral's name for it is "partial 16S ribosomal RNA". It matches the Rfam family "Archaeal small subunit ribosomal RNA", at positions 591 to 812 of the family's 1478-position model. Lineage: Archaea; Methanobacteriati; Methanobacteriota; Methanomicrobia; Methanomicrobiales. The record is from RNAcentral.
CCUAGGAACCGGGAGAGGUAAGACGUACUUCGGGGGUAGGAGUGAAAUCUUGUAAUCCCCGAGGGACGACCGAUGGCGAAGGCAUCUUACCAGAACGGCUUCGACAGUGAGGGACGAAAGCUGGGGGAGCAAACCGGAUUAGAUACCCGGGUAGUCCCAGCCGUAAACGAUGUGCGUUAGGUGUGUCAGCGACCACGAGUCGCUGAGGUGCCGAAGGGAAAC